RNAcentral lists this transfer RNA (74 nucleotides) under Streptomyces phage Wofford. Its description in RNAcentral is "tRNA-Thr". It matches the Rfam family "tRNA". From Rfam's summary of the family: Transfer RNA (tRNA) molecules are approximately 80 nucleotides in length. Their secondary structure includes four short double-helical elements and three loops (D, anti-codon, and T loops). Lineage: Duplodnaviria; Heunggongvirae; Uroviricota; Caudoviricetes; Stanwilliamsviridae. RNAcentral also lists the same sequence under 1 other name. The record is from RNAcentral.
GCCCCGUUAGUAGUAAAUGGCAACACACUUCCCUCGUAAGGAAGAAUUCUCGGUUCGAAUCCGAGGCGGGGAUC